CACAAAAGUUCAUGCACACAGCUACAUGUGUGCGCACAGGCUUAUGACCAAACGCGCACAGAUACGCGUGUACUCGCACACAUCUGGUCUGAGGUCUUGAGCUGGUGAGGGGGGAGGCAGGCACGGGGAGCUAACGGAAGGAGUCUUCAAAUUUCCCUGGCUGGGGUGUUUGCAAGCAAAUGCAUAAAAGUGCUGAUUUCUAACUUUUAUAAACUGGGGUUAAACUAGGCAACUCCUCACCCAUAAAGCACUUCUUUGGGGUGUGGAU
Non-coding RNA from Pelobates cultripes (western spadefoot toad), 268 nucleotides. The record is from the annotation of a GenBank genome assembly. NCBI's taxonomy places the organism in Eukaryota, Metazoa, Chordata, Amphibia, Anura, Pelobatidae.